AGUAACGCGUGAGGAACCUGCCUCAAAGAGGGGGACAACAGUUGGAGACGACUGCUAAUACCGCAUAAGCCCACGGCUCGGCAUCGAGCAGAGGGAAAAGGAGUGAUCCGCUUUGAGAUGGCCUCGCGUCCGAUUAGCUAGUUGGUGAGGUAACGGCCCACCAAGGCGACGAUCGGUAGCCGGACUGAGAGGUUGAACGGCCACAUUGGGACUGAGACACGGCCCAG
This 227-nucleotide ribosomal RNA is filed under the name uncultured bacterium. RNAcentral describes it as "partial 16S ribosomal RNA". It matches the Rfam family "Bacterial small subunit ribosomal RNA", at positions 109 to 334 of the family's 1533-position model. The record is from RNAcentral.